UACGGAGGGUGCGAGCGUUGUCCGGAAUCACUGGGCGUAAAGCGCACGCAGGCGGUUCGCCAAGUUUGGAGUGACAGUUGUCGGCUCAACCGACAAAGGACUUCAAAAACUGGUGAACUUGAGGACGAGAGAGGAACAUGGAACUCCAGGUGUAGUAGUGAAAUGCGUAGAUAUCUGGAAGAACACCAAUGGCGAAGGCAAUGUUCUGGCUCGUUUCUGACGCUCAGGUGCGAAAGCCAGGGGAGCGAACGGG
Molecule: ribosomal RNA, 253 nt
Filed under: uncultured bacterium
Lineage: Bacteria
Description: partial 16S ribosomal RNA
Rfam family: Bacterial small subunit ribosomal RNA
Source: RNAcentral